ACUCUAUCUGGAAGAGGACACCAAAAACUAGUAAUAUCGGCUGUCCGUGAAGAGAGAGGUGGAGUUGAAGGAAGAACUUGCUGUAUACUUUAUGAAUAUUUGGAGAAUUGAACCAUGUGGAUGGGUGACCUACUCAUAGCAUAAGUAGGUCCUGGAAGAAGUGGCUGAUUCUAGGUCUGGGGCAUGGGGAAAAUGUCCCAAGUGAGAUCUGCUACCAUUGUUCCUGCUCAACCAAAGCCAUUUACUUCAUCAGAUACUAUGCUGAGCCCAGAAAACCCCUCAUCAAUGAUAAUAUUCGUGUAAAUAAUAUAAAUCAGACAAGCUCAAAAGCUAUCCCAAAGGAAUGACAAAAUACUUUGCUGAUGCCUUCCCAUUCAGCAGCCAACGGCAGACGUCUGUCAGAUGUGGAAAGCGGACGUGACAGGACAGAACCACAUACCUGGAAG
Long non-coding RNA from Mustela lutreola (European mink), 446 nucleotides. RefSeq lists it as uncharacterized. Lineage: Eukaryota; Metazoa; Chordata; Mammalia; Carnivora; Mustelidae. The transcript has 3 exons. The record is from RefSeq and is a predicted model, not a curated record.